CUACGUGCCAGCAGCCGCGGUAAUACGUAGGUGGCAAGCGUUGUCCGGAAUUAUUGGGCGUAAAGCGCGCGCAGGCGGAUUGGUCAGUCUGUCUUAAAAGUUCGGGGCUUAACCCCGUGAUGGGAUGGAAACUGCCAAUCUAGAGUAUCGGAGAGGAAAGUGGAAUUCCUAGUGUAGCGGUGAAAUGCGUAGAUAUUAGGAAGAACACCAGUGGCGAAGGCGACUUUCUGGACGAAAACUGACGCUGAGGCGCGAAAGCCAGGGGAGCGAACGGGAUUAGAUACCCCGGUAGUCCUGGCCGUAAACGAUGGGUACUAGGUGUAGGAGGUAUCGGCCCCUUCUGUGCCGGAGUUAACGCAAUAAGUACCCCGCCUGGGGAGUACGACCGCAAGGUUGAAACUCAAAGGAAUUGACGGGGGCCCGCACAAGCGGUGGAGUAUGUGGUUUAAUUCGACGCAACGCGAAGAACCUUACCAGGUCUUGACAUUGAUGGACAGAACUAGAGAUAG
Molecule: ribosomal RNA, 509 nt
Filed under: uncultured bacterium
Lineage: Bacteria
Description: bacterial SSU rRNA
Rfam family: Bacterial small subunit ribosomal RNA
Source: RNAcentral